AGAGGAAGUAAAAGUCGUAACAAGGUUUCCGUAGGUGAACCUGCGGAAGGAUCAUUCAUAAUAAGUGUUUUAUGGCACUUUUUAAAUCCAUAUCCACCUUGUGUGCAAUGUCAGGGUUGAUUUCUCUCUCGGGAAAGAUCAGCCCCAAACAUCAACUAUUAUCUCAACUCUUUGUCUGAAAAAUAUUAUGAAUAAAAACAAUUCAAAAUACAACUUUCAACAACGGAUCUCUUGGCUCUCGCAUCGAUGAAGAACGCAGCGAAAUGCGAUACGUAAUGUGAAUUGCAGAAUUCAGUGAAUCAUCGAAUCUUUGAACGCAUAUUGCGCUCUUUGGUAUUCCGAAGAGCAUGCUUGUUUGAGUAUCAGUAAACACCUCAAAGUCUUUUUUUUUCUUGAAGAAAAAAGACCUUGGACUUGAGCAAUCCCAACUCUUCCUUUCAGAAGAGGCGGGUUGCUUGAAAUGCAGGUGCAGCUGGACAUUCUCCUGAGCUAAAAGCAUAUUCAUUUAGUCCCGUCAAACGGAUUAUUACUUUUGCUGCAGCUAACAUAAAGGGAGUUUGACCAUUUUGGCUGACUGAUGCAGGAUUUUCACAAGAGUCUUCAAAACACUCUUGUUAAACUCGAUCUCAAAUCAAGUAAGACUACCCGCUGAACUUAAGCAUAUCAUAG
RNAcentral lists this ribosomal RNA (669 nucleotides) under Mortierella sp. 01NH02. RNAcentral describes it as "eukaryotic LSU rRNA". The stretch from base 212 to 365 matches the Rfam family "5.8S ribosomal RNA". The record is from RNAcentral. Lineage: Eukaryota; Fungi; Mortierellomycota; Mortierellomycetes; Mortierellales; Mortierellaceae.